UACGGGGGGGGCAAGCGUUGUUCGGAAUUACUGGGCGUAAAGGGCUUGUAGGCGGCCAACUAAGUCCGACGUGAAAUCCCCAGGCUUAACCUGGGAACUGCGUCGGAUACUGGAUGGCUUGAAUUCGGGAGAGGGAUGCAGAAUUCCAGGUGUAGCGGCGAAAUGCGUAGAUAUCUGGAGGAAUACCGGUGGCGAAGGCGGCAUCCUGGACCGACAUUGACGCUGAGGAGCGAAAGCUAGGGGAGCAAACGGG
This 253-nucleotide ribosomal RNA is filed under the name uncultured bacterium. RNAcentral's name for it is "partial 16S ribosomal RNA". It matches the Rfam family "Bacterial small subunit ribosomal RNA", at positions 524 to 776 of the family's 1533-position model. The record is from RNAcentral.